This 20-nucleotide unclassified non-coding RNA is filed under the name Mus musculus (house mouse). Its description in RNAcentral is "oocyte_clustered_small_RNA10393". The record is from RNAcentral. Lineage: Eukaryota; Metazoa; Chordata; Mammalia; Rodentia; Muridae.
UCUUCCCACUUCUGGACGCC